AUACCCUUCAGAUGGGGAUAGCUAUUAGAAAUAGGUAGAUAAUACCGAAUACGAGACACAGGGGUUAGAGAUCUGUGAGGAAAGGAGCUAAGGCUCCGACUGAAGGAAUGGCCGUGCGGCCCAUUAGCUAGUUGGUGAGGUAAGAGCCCACCAAGGCGAUGAUGGGUAUCCGGCCUUAGAGGGUGAACGGACACAUUGGGACCUGAGAUACGGCCCAGACUCCGUACGGGAGGCAGCAGCUAAGAAUAUUCCGCAAUGGACGAAAGUCUGACGGAGCGACGCCGCGUGGAUGAAAAGAAGGCCGGAAGGUUGUAAAUCCUUUUGAAACUGAAGAAUAAGCGUUGUAGGGAAUGACAGCGUGGUGACAGUAGGUUUUGAAUAAGCAACGGCUAAUUACGUGCCAGCAGCUGC
This 411-nucleotide ribosomal RNA is filed under the name uncultured bacterium. RNAcentral describes it as "bacterial SSU rRNA". It matches the Rfam family "Bacterial small subunit ribosomal RNA", at positions 126 to 518 of the family's 1533-position model. The record is from RNAcentral.